Meleagris gallopavo (turkey) is the source of this 3712-nucleotide long non-coding RNA. NCBI's taxonomy places the organism in Eukaryota, Metazoa, Chordata, Aves, Galliformes, Phasianidae. The record is from Ensembl.
AUGGCAGAGCUGAGCAGCCACAUCCAGCAGCAGCAGCAGGAGAUGGAGUCCUAUCAGUCCCGGGGCCAGAGAGAAGCAGUAGGGCUGGAGCCACAGCAUGGGGGGGCCCAGACACGCCAGGACUCACAGCAGCAGAACACUCCAGCCUUCCUACAGAUGCUGCAGGUGGACUUGGACAUCUGCAGGGACAUGAACAGCAUGCGGCUGGCCCAGCUGCAUCUGCAGCAGCGCGUGGUGGAGCAGAAGCACCAGGACUUGAUCUCUCAGAAGCAUCAUUACCAGGCAAUGAUGGAGCAGGUACCGCUGCCCAGUGCAAAGGCCACAGGCUGGGCUGUGCAAAUUCCCGACCCUCAGCCACAUGUCCCCUGCAGCCAUCUCAGACCCAGCAAGGCACCACUACUGCCCAACAGCACUGCAGAGGGCAGUGACCAACCCACAGAGUGCAGGACACAUUCUAGCUGCCAUGCGCAGGGUGAGAAGCAGCACCACACUCCCAGCUCCAAACAGGCACAGUUGUUGUGGGCCUGUCUGCUCAACAGAGCAGAGCUGGGUGAUUGCAGCCCCCAUGUGGCACCUGUAGCCUGGGAUCCACGGAGCUGGGCUCACUGCCCUUCUCCACACCCCAACAUGGGUCAGGGGCUGCUGCCUAGGGCUGCUGGGGGACAGGAGACACUGCCACCAUGGGAAGGGCACGAGGGUCUGUGGCUGGGACCAGGGGCCAGGAGCUGCAGCCCCAUGGGGCUGGCCAUGUCCCUUUGCCAAAAACCCAUCCCAAAGUCCACAACCAUCAGGCUGUCCCAGCUUGGCUUUCUCCAGCUUGAGUGCCAGCCCCUCCAUGGGCAGAGCAUGGUGCAGUGUACUCCACUGGGAGCCCACACACAGCACUGCAUCUCUCCACAGGACCAGAAGGACACAGUUCAGAUAGAGGCCACCUCUGCAGAUUCCUGUAGUAGUUCCAGUGCAAGCGAUGAUCUCCUGGAGGAGUACACAGAGCAACUGGAGCAGGUGGCCACGCAAGCAGGCAGAGAGCACUGCAUGCAGAGGGAAGCCCAGGAGCAUCAGUGCUGGGCACAGGACAUGUCAUCAACAGGACACAGCACUGCUAAAGAAGAAGCCCAGGGCAGGAGGAGACAGUGCCAGCGAGCAAGCCUGUCUCGAGCGGCCCAGGUCCCAGCACGGUCACUGGCAGCCCAGAGCCGCCUACAGCACAAGGAGGAACAGCUGCAGCCACGUGCAGGGAGCACCAUGCAGUGCACAGAGGAACAGCCAUGUUCUUGUGCAAGGAGCAGUAUGCAGCACACAGCUGAUGGCAACGAAGUGGAGCCACGAGCACAGCAGGAGGUAGCAGAAAGCAGGGAGAUGGCAGUGUGGCUCCAGAUGGAGUUGAGCCGGUGGCAGCAGAAGCAGCAGGUGACUCUGGAACAGUCACUGCAAUACAUGCAUGCUGCUGCCCGUGCCAAACAGGAGCUACAAAAGAGCCAAGAGCAACUCCAAGCCCUGAAGAACCAGCUGAAGGCUCAGAAGGAGCAGAACCGGACCCUGCAGCACAGCCUGGAAAAGCAGCAAGAGGUGCUGGCAGCCACCAAGGCCCGGGAGAUGCAAAGUUUGCAGCAGCUCAGUAGACACAAGCAGACAAUCCACGACCUACAGCAGAAAGCAGCCUCGAGCAGAAAGAAGAUGGCAGAGCUGCUAGAGCAGGUGAUGGCAGGAACAGGGCAACCACACGAUGCAGCCAGCUGCCACGCAGCUCCCUCUGCCUCAGCUGCAGGAUUGAGCCCACAGCGCCGGCACUGGGUGCAGCUCCAGCUUCCUCUGUCUGCCCACUCCCACUCCCAGACCCACCCUUUUUCGUGCAGGUGGAGGACGUGGCAUCCCUGAAGGCAGAGCUGGCCCAAGCCCAGAGAAAGAUAGGCCACAAUCUUCCACUCCUUUGUCGUUAUGAGAAAGAGAGGCAGCAGCUCCACAGGGAGCUCAAGGAGCAACAGAGGGCCCAGGUGCAGAGCCAGCAGGAGGUAAGCAUGGCCCGAGCCUUCCCGCUAGGUGCCUGUGCUAACCCUGCACAUCCCUCAUCACCCCUCUGUGCCGCUGGCAGGCCCGCUCCUUCCAGGAGAAGCUGCAAAAGCUGAGCAGCCAAGUUCGGUACUGGCAGGAGUUACACCAGGACACUCAGCGAACUCUGGCUAGACGGGAAGAUGAGCUGUCUGUCUGCAACGCGGAGAUGGAUUUCAAGGAAGAAUUCAUCAAGGCCAUGAGACAGGCUCAGGCCAGGAACAGGCAGAACCACAGCCCAAGGACAGGAGGAGUGCAACCUGAGCCCCAGGCACCACUGAAGGACAGAUCCUGGCCUACAGGCAGGGCAGAGGCGGAAAGGCCGGGCCAGGAGUGGGCUAACUGCAGAGCCAGCACCAACAAGGGAGGAGGCGGUGGCGGUGGGUCUGUAAGCAGCAGCAGUGCUAACAUCUUGUUCUUCUUUAAGUAGUCCACUUUUCUCUGUUGCGAGAAAGGUGUCCUCAGUAUGAAAUGAAGAGUUUCUGUCCAGACUGCUGAGGUAAUGGUUCCUUCAUUCCAGAGCAGCUAUCCCAAGACACAGGCAACUGCAGACUCACAGCUCAGCCCCAAAGGCUGCUGCCUCCACACAGCUCUGUUCAUGCACCUUCCUUCUGCCCUGGGCGUGUAGAGGUUGAGUAGAGCACGCGAGUUCACACACAGCACAUUGGUUUUUUUUAGGUAAAAACCCUGCAUGCUUCCCACACCCCAGCCUGUUCUAAUAGCAGUAGGCUGCACCAGGACAGGAAUCUGAUGCUGAUCAAUAAUAGCCAGAGUGUGAAAGAGCAGAUGUGAGUAAGAAGCCUUACACAAGUAGAGGGGAGCUGAUGGCUGCCUUCUCACAACUAAUUCAGCCUACACCUCAUUUUCAGGCAGUCAAAUGAGAAACACCACAAGAUCCAGCAGCAAGUCAAGCAGGCUGCAGAGUUCACAGGCGAAAACCAGUAAGUAAUGAACACGGGGAGUGGGUCUGAGCACUUACUGCCACCCACAGGGGUGCAUGGGAUGAUGAACUGCUGGAUUACCCAAAUUCUUGGAAGGCCAGCAGAGCAAGGCUGUCUCUGCACCAGUACCUUACCCUCACCUUAUCUCAUUUCCUCUGCCUGUCCUCCAGACAUCUUCAAGACACACUGGACAGCUUGCACGUGGAAAACACAUACUUCAGGGCUAGAACACAUGUACAGUACCACAAUCAUGAGCAGAUGAAGGUGAGCAGAGUAACAGUCAACCUGGCCCAAAACAGUGCUAAGCUGAUAAUCUUUUGUGUACAGGGACAGCUAGGCCUAGCUGCCCGUCCAGGAUACAGGUCAUAGAAGACUUGCCUUUGCAGUAGUCCAGGCCAGAGCUGGGCCAGGCUGGUCCUCCAUGCCAAUAUAAUUCUUUGCCUUGUCCCAGGCUCUACAGGGCAACAACCUGACUGCACGAGCCCUUCAGAACUUGGCAGGGCUGUCUCUGCCUGGAACUCACUCCAGGAUGAGAAGUGACACAAAACAACGGGAGGGUUAAAGACUGACAACCUUUAAACAAAUAAAAUUAUUUCUCUUCUGUAGCAAAAAUAGUACAGAGCAUCAAAGCCUUCUUGGGCCACAGGCUGUAGAGAGCCUCACAGCAGUCAGAGGAACUGAGCCCUAAAACUCAGCAGCUCCUGGGAAGUCUUUAUGUCUCG